GGGGAUGUAAAGCAUCGACGUGACCGCUCUUUACCAACUGCAGACUGUCUUUGGCUAAAAGACAUAAAACAGAGCCAACAACACAACUGCCAAUUCAUUGCGCAGCAAAGUUGCGAACUUCAUUGAAUCCGUUCAAUCAAUGUUUGCAACUCCCGCUUUGGCUUACGCCUAAGUGGGCAUUCAAGGGUGCUUUCUAACUGAUGGAGCCCUUUGGGUGACAACCCAAUCAGUUUGCAAGGGAUUGAGUUGCACGGCGGUUCCUUAAAGAUUAGUGCAGGUUGCUUGAGCCAGGUUGGCUUGUUUCCCUCUCAAGUAAUACCCAAAGCAAGCUAAGUCUGUAGAAGUUUGUAAGGCUCGUGUUUACGGACGGGGGUUCAUUGCCCCCCAUCUCCACCA
Molecule: transfer-messenger RNA, 396 nt
Filed under: Patescibacteria group
Lineage: Bacteria
Also listed under: 4 other names
Description: UBA10119 sp001787405 Standard tmRNA
Rfam family: transfer-messenger RNA
About the family: Bacterial tmRNA, also known as 10Sa RNA or SsrA, is named for its dual tRNA and mRNA-like properties.
Source: RNAcentral